AUGAAAGCCAAAAUAGAGGCGCCUAGCUGUUAAUUAGGAUAAUGUAAUUAUUAAUUUACUCAUUUAAUCAUAGUAUAUAA
RNAcentral lists this transfer RNA (80 nucleotides) under Pararetifusus carinatus. Its description in RNAcentral is "tRNA-Asn". The record is from RNAcentral. Lineage: Eukaryota; Metazoa; Mollusca; Gastropoda; Neogastropoda; Fasciolariidae.